AUCGAUGAAGAACGCAGCGAAAUGCGAUAAGUAAUGUGAAUUGCAGAAUUCAGUGAAUCAUCGAAUCUUUGAACGCACAUUGCGCCCUCUGGUAUUCCGGAGGGCACACCUGUUCGAGCGUCAUUACACAAAUCAAGCCCUGCUUGGUGUUGGGUGAAGCCCUUAGGGGCCCGCCUCAAACCCCUCGGCGUCGCCGUCCGUCUUCGAGCGCAGCGAGAUAACUUUCCAGCGUUUUCGACACGGGCCACGUCCGCCGCAGAACAUACCUUUAUUUCUAUCAAGGUUGACCUCGGAUCAGGUGGGGAUACCCGCUGAACUUAAGCAUAUCAAUAAGCGGAGGAAAAGAAACCAACAGGGAUUGCCUUAGUAACGGCGAGUGAAGCGGCAACAGCUCAAAUUUGAAAUCUGGUCCUUUCAGGGCCCGAGUUGUAAUUUGUAGAGGAUGCUUUGGUGUUGGCCCCGGUCUAAGUUCCUUGGAACAGGACGUCAUAGAGGGUGAGAAUCCCGUAUGUGACCGGUGGCCCUCCCCGUGUAAAGCUCCUUCGACGAGUCGAGUUGUUUGGGAAUGCAGCUCUAAAUGGGAGGUAUAUUUCUUCUAAAGCUAAAUACCGGCCAGAGACCGAUAGCGCACAAGUAGAGUGAUCGAAAGAUGAAAAGCACUUUGGAAAGAGAGUCAAACAGUACGUGAAAUUGUUGAAAGGGAAGCGCUUGCGACCAGACUUGCCCGCGGUUGUUCAACAGGUCCUUGGGCCUGUGCACUCUUCCGCGGUCAGGCCAGCAUCAGCUUGGGCGGUCGGAUAAAGGCUGCGGGAAUGUAGCUCCCCUCGGGGAGUGUUAUAGCCCGUGGUGUAAUGCGACCAGUCCAGGCUGAGGCCCGCGCUUCGGCUAGGAUGCUGGCGUAAUGGUCGUAAGCGGCCCGUCUU
This 923-nucleotide ribosomal RNA is filed under the name uncultured Ascomycota. Its description in RNAcentral is "eukaryotic LSU rRNA". The stretch from base 285 to 923 matches the Rfam family "Eukaryotic large subunit ribosomal RNA", at positions 1 to 655 of the family's 3401-position model. Lineage: Eukaryota; Fungi; Ascomycota. The record is from RNAcentral.